ACAUUCACCACCCCAUGACGCGGCGCCGGGUCGCCGCCGCAGAUUCGACACAAAACCCGGAAGGACCCAGCCGAAGGUUUUCUCCGGUUCGGGCAAGAGACGGGGUCCCGCUCUGUCACCCAGGCUGCCAGACUGGCGUACAGUGGUGCAAUCUCAGCUCACUGCAACCUGCACCUCCUGGGUUCAAGUGAUUUUCUUGUCUCUGCCUCCUGAGUAGCUGGGAUUACUGGCACACACCACCAUGCACUGUUCCUUGUUCAAAAUGCCAAGAACCUGGAUGACUCAGAGUCAAGACCCUCCACCAGUAACAUAUAUUGGCGAGCCAGCCAGGAGCUUGGAACCCUCGGUGGACAGUGCCUAAGCACAGAGGCAACCACAGGUUUCUAACCAGGGCCACUCUCCGGUGAAACUGAAAGGUUUCUGUGUGAAAGUGCCUGACCACCACUGCCCGGUUCGGACCACUACAGGAAACACUCCAUUUAUUCCACCUGAAUUCCCACUUGGCUGCAUCCUCAACCAUUGAAAUGAAUUUGACCCUGAUAAUCUAAGGAGGAAACAUUUGAUAUUCUUUUGCAAUAAUACUUGGCCCCAGUAUUGUUUGGAAUCUGGAGUUUGCUGUUGAAUGGGAAAGUGGGAUGACGUUGC
RNAcentral lists this non-coding RNA (645 nucleotides) under Pongo abelii (Sumatran orangutan). The record is from RNAcentral. Lineage: Eukaryota; Metazoa; Chordata; Mammalia; Primates; Hominidae.